UGGGGUUGUGGCUCAGUGGUAGAGUACUGGCCUAGCAUGCAUGAGACACUGUGUUCGAUUAUCAGCACCACAA
RNAcentral lists this transfer RNA (73 nucleotides) under Marmota monax (woodchuck). RNAcentral describes it as "tRNA.Ala". Lineage: Eukaryota; Metazoa; Chordata; Mammalia; Rodentia; Sciuridae. The record is from RNAcentral.